RNAcentral lists this ribosomal RNA (328 nucleotides) under uncultured bacterium. RNAcentral's name for it is "bacterial SSU rRNA". It matches the Rfam family "Bacterial small subunit ribosomal RNA", at positions 335 to 660 of the family's 1533-position model. The record is from RNAcentral.
ACUCCUACGGGAGGCAGCAGUGGGAAUUUUGGACAAUGGGCGAAAGCCUGAUCCAGCCAUGCCGCGUGAGUGAAGAAGGCCUUCGGGUUGUAAAGCUCUUUCAGGUGAGAAGAAAUGGCGCUGUCUAAUACAUGGCGUCGAUGACGGUACCACCAGAAGAAGCACCGGCUAACUACGUGCCAGCAGCCGCGGUAAUACGUAGGGUGCGAGCGUUAAUCGGAAUUACUGGGCGUAAAGCGUGCGCAGGCGGUUGUGUAAGACAGGUGUGAAAUCCCGGCUAGCUAGGCAGCACGCUUGUGACUGCACGGCUAGAGUACGGUAGAGGGGG